Molecule: long non-coding RNA, 960 nt
Filed under: Androctonus crassicauda
Lineage: Eukaryota; Metazoa; Arthropoda; Arachnida; Scorpiones; Buthidae
Source: RNAcentral
GUUUGGAUUGGUCAAUGAGUCCGCUUAGGUUAUUGGUCAAUUUUGCAGUACUUCUGCGAUGCUUUUUGGAGUGGAAUUGGUUUGACGUUGUGCGUCGGCGGCUGCCGUUGGCCGCUGUCGCUGAGGGUGGACAAGUGGAAUACAGCCUUAAGGCGGGAAAGCCAUCCAUUCCGAAUAACGGCAGUUAUCUGCCAGCCAACGUUUUCCUUAAAAAGAUAAUUGGAUCCAAAAUCUUAUUAGACUCUUUGGAGUGAUUGCGGUGGAACUUUUUUUUUAUAUACUCCCCUUUCCUAUGGGAGUUAGGUGGAAACUUCGUCCCCCGAAGACUGAAUUUGAAGACGAGGCGGUCCAGAUUCGUAUAGGGUCCACCGCAGGCUCCCAGUGACCGUCUAAGCAGUUCCGAUUCCGUAAAGGAGCCCACAGAUGGGCCCCAGUGACGUACCUCGGAAUCAUCAGUGCCAGAUGACUCCUUUAAGAGCUUUUUACUCCACGCGGAGUUAGACGGUGGGCGUAUUCUAACCCCUUACCCAGGAGGAGUCAGUGGAACUUAAAUCCGAGUUCCGGUUAAAUACGCACCAUCCGAUGGAAGCAUUACGCGCUACAGAAUCGUCAAAUUAGCAUUUCAUACAUAAGCUAUAUAAUUUAUCAGUCACGCUCUGUAUCUCUCCAAUGCUUUUUUUUUUAUACGAGACACGAGGCGGCAAAAUAAUUUUUUCCUUAUAAUCGUUUCAAUCUAAUAGUUUCCGUUUUACUUCCCGACACCAAAAAAAACUGCCGACGAAACGGAAAAAGCCAGACAAAAAUUUGUCGAAACAUCAAUGGUAUAGAUAUAAAACUAGUAAAAGCAAAAUUUCACUUUAUAAAUUGUUCAUAUACGAAAAUUACGUCAAUUGUUGUUGGCCAUGGGCAGCCACGCCUGGUAAACUCCGAGUUUUCUAGGCGGAAAUACCGGAUAUUUUU